Molecule: transfer RNA, 74 nt
Filed under: Alphaproteobacteria bacterium
Lineage: Bacteria; Pseudomonadati; Pseudomonadota; Alphaproteobacteria
Description: tRNA-Val
Rfam family: tRNA
About the family: Transfer RNA (tRNA) molecules are approximately 80 nucleotides in length. Their secondary structure includes four short double-helical elements and three loops (D, anti-codon, and T loops). Further hydrogen bonds mediate the characteristic L-shaped molecular structure. tRNAs have two regions of fundamental functional importance: the anti-codon, which is responsible for specific mRNA codon recognition, and the 3' end, to which the tRNAs corresponding amino acid is attached (by aminoacyl-tRNA synthetases). tRNAs cope with the degeneracy of the genetic code in two manners: having more than one tRNA (with a specific anti-codon) for a particular amino acid; and 'wobble' base-pairing, i.e. permitting non-standard base-pairing at the 3rd anti-codon position.
Source: RNAcentral
GGGUGCUUAGCUGAGUGUGGGGGACCGUCUUCACACGGCGGGGGUCACUGGUUCAAAUCCAGUAGCGCCCACCA